GGAUGAACGCUAGCGGCGUACCUAACGCAUGCAAGUCGAACGAACCUUUUGUAGCAAUACGGAAGGUUAGUGGCAAACGGGUGAGUAACACGUAGGUUAUCUACCCUCGAGUGGGGAAUAACGACCCGAAAGGGUCGCUAAUACCGCAUACGGUUGUGAAACUAAAGCCGAAAGGCGCUUGAGGAUGAGCCUGCGGCCCAUCAGGUAGUUGGUGAGGUAACGGCUUACCAAGCCGAUGACGGGUAGCUGAUCUGAGAGGAUGACCAGCCACACUGGCACUGAUACACGGGCCAGACUCCUACGGGAGGCAGCAGCGAGGAAUAUUGCACAAUGGGCGAAAGCCUGAUGCAGUAACGCCGCGUGAGGGAUGAAGGCCUUCGGGUCGUAAACCUCUUUUCGCGGGGACGAGUGAGGACGGUACCCGCGGAAUAAGUCUCGGCUAACUACGUGCCAGCAGCCGCGGUAAAACGUAGGAGGCGAGCGUUAUCCGGAUUCACUGGGCGUAAAGCGCGUGUAGGCGGUCGGUCAAGUCGGCUGUUAAAGCCCCUGGCUUAACUGGGGGAGGCCAGCCGAGACUGCUCGACUUGAGGGUGGUAGAGGAGAGUGGAACUCCCGGUGUAGCGGUGGAAUGCGUAGAGAUCGGGAAGAACACCAGUGGCGAAGGCGACUCUCUGGGCCACACCUGACGCUGAGACGCGAAAGUGUGGGGAGCAAACGGGAUUAGAUACCCCGGUAGUCCACACCCUAAACGAUGAGGGCUAGGUGUUGGUGGGAUUUCCCAUCUGUGCCGUAGCAAACGCGUUAAGCCCUCCGCCUGGGGACUAUGAGCGCAAGCUUAAAACUCAAAGGAAUUGACGGGGGCCCGCACAAGCAGCGGAGCGUGCGGUUCAAUUCGAUGCGACACGAAGAACCUUACCAGGGUUUGACAUGCGCGUGGUAGGAAAGGGAAACCGGACCGACCCGCAAGGGAGCGCGUACAGGUGAUGCAUGGCUGUCGUCAGCUCGUGCCGUGAGGUGUUCACUUAAGUGUGAAAACGAGCGCAACCCUUGUCGCUAGUUACAAGUGUCUAGCGAGACUGCCGGAUUAUCUCUGGAGGAAGGCGGGGAUGACGUCAAGUCAGCAUGUCCUUUAUAUCCUGGGCGACACGCACGCUACAAUGGGCGUCAUAAUGCGUUGCCAAGCCGUGAGGCGGAGCUAAUCGCACAAAAGCGCCCUCAGUUCAGAUUGCAGGCUGCAACCCGC
RNAcentral lists this ribosomal RNA (1243 nucleotides) under uncultured bacterium. RNAcentral describes it as "bacterial SSU rRNA". It matches the Rfam family "Bacterial small subunit ribosomal RNA", at positions 27 to 1315 of the family's 1533-position model. The record is from RNAcentral.